UACGUAGGGUGCGAGCGUUAAUCGGAAUUACUGGGCGUAAAGCGUGCGCAGGCGGUUCGUUGUGUCGGUGGUGAAAGCCCCGGGCUCAACCUGGGAAUGGCCAUGGAAACUGGCGAACUGGAGUGUGGCAGAGGGGGGUGGAAUUCCGCGUGUAGCAGUGAAAUGCGUAGAGAUGCGGAGGAACACCGAUGGCGAAGGCAGCCCCCCUGGGCUAGCAC
This 218-nucleotide ribosomal RNA is filed under the name uncultured bacterium. RNAcentral's name for it is "partial 16S ribosomal RNA". It matches the Rfam family "Bacterial small subunit ribosomal RNA", at positions 524 to 740 of the family's 1533-position model. The record is from RNAcentral.